AAAAACUUUCUCCAUUCUCUAGUUCUUAGUUCUGCGUCUUCAAGCCAAGGAGGAGGAGGAGGAGGAGCCGUGAGCAUCAUCUUGCCUAGCCAUCAUCCACCUUGUGCCGUAGCCUUGAGGAGACUUGCUUUCAAGAUCUUUAAAGUUCAACGUCUCAAGUGUUCAUCUCAUCCCCUUCACUGUGUGUACCCUCUAUCCUCGGCUUGAACGAUCCCUAUUUACCAUAUACUAACGAUAACAUUUUUCAGGGUUAAAUUACGCGCUUGUUUUUAGCGUAACACCUGUCACUAGAAGGUUGCAACCAUUUGAUGAAGAAAUAAACGGAAUUGAGAAAAUCGAGAGAAAAUUGUGGGAAAUUGAGCAAAUUGAAGUUUUCAGAAAAAUGACAAAAUGAUCGAUGGCCGUGAGCUGCAAUUAAUGUCAAGAAGUGUGCAAAAUCCGACAUCAUAAUGGAUGCAAGGAUAACUUCGAAUCGUUAAAGAGAGAAGAAGAAAAAGAAAAAUGAAGUGAAGUGAAAAAUGGCUAAUUAAUUAAUCAUUGAUUGAUUAAUUAAUUAGUUUUCUAGCCAAUGGUUUAGUUAAUAUGGUGCACGUGUCACCCCACCUUCCUGUCUUUUCAAUUAACUAAAGAUUGUCAUCAAUUUUGUUUUCUUUCCCAGCCGCUUGCACGUGCUCCUCUUUCAAUUUUAAUUUAGUGUUCAUUUUAUUUUC
Rosa rugosa (rugosa rose) is the source of this 710-nucleotide long non-coding RNA. RefSeq lists it as uncharacterized. The record is from RefSeq and is a predicted model, not a curated record. The transcript has 3 exons. Lineage: Eukaryota; Viridiplantae; Streptophyta; Magnoliopsida; Rosales; Rosaceae.